GGUAUAAGGUUUAUCUAUAAUUAGGGGCUAAAGGGUCGCCGCACUCCAUUCCAUUAUUCAAAAUAUCCAUUUCAUUAUUCAAAAUUGGCUAUUUCUUUUUUUUCACGCGUAUUUUGGCAUUUAGGUCUUCUAAUAUUCGUUGCGGAACCUUUAAUAGCUGACUAUGCGGUAUGGGCUUUGCUCAUUGUUGAAGGCUGUACGGUGAGCUAUAGUUGUUAAUGUCUGUGUCAUUGUGGUCUUUCUGGAUAUUUGUCUCAUUGGCAAUCAUACCACAUCUUCUUUUUUAUAUUUCCUCAUUUUUAUGCAUAUUGUGGCAUUUAGGUCCUCCGUAAACCGUCUUAUGGUCAUUUCGAAUCAAAAUAUAGCUAUAGUGUCACAGUCAAUUUUUUUAUAUUUUUUUCACUAUUCACCGCUUCAAUUUGAAUAAUGAAACAUAAACCAUUUC
RNAcentral lists this long non-coding RNA (445 nucleotides) under Mytilus galloprovincialis (Mediterranean mussel). Lineage: Eukaryota; Metazoa; Mollusca; Bivalvia; Mytilida; Mytilidae. The record is from RNAcentral.